RNAcentral lists this ribosomal RNA (450 nucleotides) under uncultured bacterium. RNAcentral describes it as "partial 16S ribosomal RNA". It matches the Rfam family "Bacterial small subunit ribosomal RNA", at positions 354 to 796 of the family's 1533-position model. The record is from RNAcentral.
GUGGGGAAUUUUGGACAAUGGGCGCAAGCCUGAUCCAGCAAUGCCGCGUGCAGGAAGAAGGCCUUCGGGUUGUAAACUGCUUUUGUACGGAACGAAACGGUCCUGGUUAAUACCCGGGGCUAAUGACGGUACCGUAAGAAUAAGCACCGGCUAACUACGUGCCAGCAGCCGCGGUAAUACGUAGGGUGCAAGCGUUAAUCGGAAUUACUGGGCGUAAAGCGUGCGCAGGCGGUGCUGUAAGACAGGCGUGAAAUCCCCGGGCUUAACCUGGGAAUUGCGCUUGUGACUGCAGUGCUGGAGUGCGGCAGAGGGGGAUGGAAUUCCGCGUGUAGCAGUGAAAUGCGUAGAUAUGCGGAGGAACACCGAUGGCGAAGGCAAUCCCCUGGGCCUGCACUGACGCUCAUGCACGAAAGCGUGGGGAGCAAACAGGAUUAGAAACCCUGGUAGUCC